RNAcentral lists this ribosomal RNA (254 nucleotides) under uncultured bacterium. Its description in RNAcentral is "partial 16S ribosomal RNA". It matches the Rfam family "Bacterial small subunit ribosomal RNA", at positions 524 to 776 of the family's 1533-position model. The record is from RNAcentral.
UACGUAGGGGGCGAGCGUUGUCCGGAUUUAUUGGGCGUAAAACGCUUGUAGGUGGCUACGUCAAGUCGGACGUGAAAUCUCCCGGCUUAACUGGGAGGGGUCGCUCGAUACUGGCGAGCUCGAGGCAGGUAGGGGGAAGCGGAAUUCCCGGUGUAGUGGUGGAAUGCGUAGAUAUCGGGAAGAACACCCGUGGCGAAGGCGGCUCUCUGGGACGGUACUGACGCUGAGACGCGAAAGCGUGGGGAGCGAACAGG